GGGGUGGCAGCACCACGGGAUACAGACAAACUCCAGCCCUGACUGAACACAUCGCAGGACUUGUUAACAAUCGGUCUCCCUCGACAAAAUUUUUCGCAACAAAAGCAGGCGCACACUCUCAGAAUACAUCCGUGUUCCUAAGCGUUUCGCCCCCUUGCUUCCCGCACCGGAAUCAGAGCCGCUCGCAAGUUGAGUGACGUCGCUGGCAAGGGGAGGGAGACAGGCACUGGGCUCCGAUCCUGUGCGCCGGCUUUAAAAACUCGGCUGGAAUUCGUUUAAAGGGAAACCGCCGGUGAAACUGCAAUAUCAGCCAGCACCACGCGUUUAAUAGUCCUCCCUGCCGUAGAUGAGGUUGGCAACAGCUUUAAUUAUCCUGGAUGGACACACGUUUGUCCACUUCGCCAUUGGUCCCUAACCACCGGGCCGCAAAGCAUGUGCUACUGGGCCGCGAGGAAACAAUAUGAUUUGGCGAUAUGAAACGAUAUGAGUCAGCUGCACCUUUCCUCAUUCCCUGUCACGCACUGUUGAACUUGAACACUGCCCCCGCCCCCUACUGUCGGCCGGUCUGCAAGAAUAUUGUCAAUAUUAAACGCGGUGCAAAAAAGGUUGGGGACCCCCGCACUUUGCCAUUUUAGUUCCUUCUUAUCUCAUCAGUCAGAAUUCAAUAACCUUAACAGCCUGCUUUUCCUGCAUUGCGUACCCAGCUUUAAUCACAUAAUAUCCCAGCAAAACUGCUUAGCAUUUGUCCACAUCAAUCACCACUUGAGGGCAAAUCUGUCACAUUGUCAUGGCUGCAGCUUUCGGGCUAAUACAAUUGCUUGUACACAGUUUUGUGCAGCGGGUUUACCAAUCUACUAACGCAUUGCACAACAUCCACUUUGGAGCAUUACUUAACUCUGUCCUCAAAGGAAUCUGCCACUGACUGCUGGUAGGGUGCAUUAACAUGCAAUUUCGAAUGGAGAAUAAUUUUUAGCUUUACCCUGC
This is a long non-coding RNA of Mobula hypostoma (lesser devil ray), 984 nucleotides long. RefSeq lists it as uncharacterized. Lineage: Eukaryota; Metazoa; Chordata; Chondrichthyes; Myliobatiformes; Myliobatidae. The transcript is spliced from 3 exons. The record is from RefSeq and is a predicted model, not a curated record.